This 21-nucleotide microRNA is filed under the name Ascaris suum (pig roundworm). RNAcentral's name for it is "asu-miR-100d-3p". Its record names the gene asu-miR-100d-3p. The record is from miRBase by way of RNAcentral. Lineage: Eukaryota; Metazoa; Nematoda; Chromadorea; Rhabditida; Ascarididae.
CACGCUACGGUGUUCGGGUCC